ACAUGCUGUCGAGCGUAGAAGAAGCUGUUUGUUGAGAGCGCGGACGGGGAGUAAGCUAGGAUCUGCUGGUAGUGGGGAUAACUCGGGAACGGACGCUGAUACCGCAUACGUCCUACGGGAGAAAGCAGGGACUUCGGGCCUUGCGCUAUCAGAUGAGCCUAGGUCGGAUUAGCUAGUUGAUGAGGUAAUGGCUCACCAAGGCGACGAUCCGUAACUGUCUGAGAGGAUGAUCAGUCACACUGGAACUGAGACACGGUCCAGACUCCUACGGGAGGCAGCAGUGGGGAAUAUUGGACAAUGGGCGAAAGCCUGAUCCAGCCAUGCCGCGUGUGUGAAGAAGGUCUUCGGAUUGUAAAGCACUUUAAGUUGGGAGG
This 374-nucleotide ribosomal RNA is filed under the name uncultured bacterium NIC008. RNAcentral's name for it is "bacterial SSU rRNA". It matches the Rfam family "Bacterial small subunit ribosomal RNA", at positions 53 to 447 of the family's 1533-position model. The record is from RNAcentral. Lineage: Bacteria; Pseudomonadati; Pseudomonadota; Gammaproteobacteria.